This 254-nucleotide ribosomal RNA is filed under the name uncultured bacterium. RNAcentral's name for it is "partial 16S ribosomal RNA". It matches the Rfam family "Bacterial small subunit ribosomal RNA", at positions 524 to 776 of the family's 1533-position model. The record is from RNAcentral.
UACGGGGGGGGGCAAGCGUUGUUCGGAAUUACUGGGCGUAAAGGGCUCGUAGGCGGCCAACUAAGUCGGAUGUGAAAUCCCCCAGCUCAACCUGGGAACUGCAUCCGAUACUGGAUGGCUUGAAUCCGGGAGAGGGAUGCAGAAUUCCAGGUGUAGCGGUGAAAUGCGUAGAUAUCUGGAGGAAUACCGGUGGCGAAGGCGGCAUCCUGGACCGGCAUUGACGCUGAUGAGCGAAAGCUAGGGGAGCAAACGGG